RNAcentral lists this ribosomal RNA (225 nucleotides) under Chloropicon mariensis. Its description in RNAcentral is "partial Bacterial large subunit ribosomal RNA". It matches the Rfam family "Bacterial large subunit ribosomal RNA", at positions 428 to 653 of the family's 2925-position model. The record is from RNAcentral. Lineage: Eukaryota; Viridiplantae; Chlorophyta; Chloropicophyceae; Chloropicales; Chloropicaceae.
GAAACCUUGUGGGAACACAGGGGGACCACCCCCUAAGGCUAAAUACUACUUAGUGACCGAUAGCGCAUAGUACUGUGAAGGAAAGGUGAAAAGUACCCUGAAUAAGGGGGUGAAAUAGAACCUGAAACCAUACGCUUACAAUCUGUGGGAGCCAUUAAGUGUGGUGACCGCGUGCCUUUUGCAUAAUGAGCCUACGAGUUACUCCUCUCUGGCAAGGUUAAGACU